This 1859-nucleotide long non-coding RNA is filed under the name Marmota monax (woodchuck). The record is from RNAcentral. Lineage: Eukaryota; Metazoa; Chordata; Mammalia; Rodentia; Sciuridae.
UGAAAAAUUCCAGAAAUUGGGGCUGGGAUUGUGGCUCAGCUGUAGAGCGCUCGCCUAGCACGGGCGGACCUGGGUUCGAUUCUCGGCAACACAUAAAAAAAAAAGGCAUUGUGUUGUGUCCAUCUACAAAAAGGAUUCAUUCUCUCUCUCUCUCUCUCUCUCUCUCUCUCUCUCUCUCUCUCUCUCUCUCUCUCUCUGUCUCUUAAAAAAAAAAAGAGGGGGUUCGCCUCCCUGGGCGGAGGCGCGGUCCCGCGUUCCGCCCGCGUCGGGCUUCCUGAGCGGUGGCGCGAGGCAGUGACGGUCGCUGAGCUCGCGGCAGGAUGGAGGCGCGCGCGGCGAACGGCGGCCGGGGACGGCGCGGGCCCGGGGCCCCGCAGGCCGGGACCGACGGGCUGCCGAAGCACUCGUACUGGCUGGACCUGUGGCUCUUCCUCUUCGUGUACCUCUUGCCCUGAUGGGUUUGCUGACAUCCCAAGAUCACUGGAUUGUGGAGUGAAUUCUGAAAAUGAACUACAGUCUUCUUGAACAAAGAAGAUGGGAUUGCGCUACUGCAGAAUUCCAAGUCUCCAAGGGAUCUUCCUUUCUUUUUACAUAUUCUUCUAACUCAUUUGGGGAACUACUAAAUGAAUAGUGAUCUCAUUCAUAGCCAAGUUCCUAAACCUAAAUGCAGUGUUUCACAUUUAAACUCUUUUCAAACACCUGAUGUCUUUAUACGGGCUAGUGUAGAAGUAAAAUUUGUACUUCAAAGCUUAGCAUAUUCACCAAGAAGACAGCAAUGUCUUUACUGUUGUAAGGGUUGGUCUGGGUUUAAUUCAGUCACAUAAGGGGGUGUGUAACUAGGUGAGGUGAGGUAGUUGUAACCCAAAGUUAUUCAGGAGAGAGAAAAGGAUUGGUGUUCUGAGAUUGUGUAGAGGCUGUCACUAACACAAUAGAGUCCACAUAUUGGCUCUACACAUGCUUAGUUUUUAAAUGGUCUUUUCAUGACCUUUGAAAUGCCUGUGGGUGAGGAUCACAAAGGAGAUGGCAUUAGAUAGUGGAAAGCCCGCCUGUACCCUGAAAUAGGAAUGUUUCAAGCCUGUUUUUUGUUUGUUUGUUUGUUUUUGUUUUUUAAUUAUUGUAUUAGGUAUGCUUGUGUCCAAAACAUUUGCUUUCAUAAUGCUUGUAACUUACUUGAAUACCUCCGCUGACAGUGUGAUAUUUACUCAUCCUGCAGAGCCCUCCUCUUUGGCCGCAGCAUUUUAAACAUAGCUGUAGGCCAGGCAAAAAUUCUUUCCUUUGUAGAGAUUGUUCGGUCUUUGCUGUUCUUUUUAAAAAUCUAAUCGGUAUUAAACUCAAAUCUAAUUGUUAUUUACUGAUCUGGGGUGCUCAGCGGGCAUUUCAUCAGAAAGAUCACGGGAUUUGGCAGAUGUGAACUGUGUGAAGUAGUCCCCUCCCUGUGAUCAAGGCGUAAGAUCCAGGGAACUCUGCAUCCUCUGCCUUUCAGAAGGGUGCUGAGGGUUAGGGUCAGGCCUGGAGUUGCCCUUGGAUGAUCAGUUGGCCUGGUGACUCUUAGUUAUGCCUUCAGGGUAUUGUUGCUCUGCACAAAGAGAGCAUUCUGUGGAAGGUGAGGUUGAAGCAUCAGGAGGAACAAAAAAGGAGAUUGUACUGAGUGUAAUAAAUGAUUAUGACCUGCUUUUCUGCUGCUAACAAUUUUAUCUAAUAAACAUUUACUUACAUAAAAAAAAAGAAAAGAAAGAAAGAAAGAAAAAUUCCAGAAAUAAAUAAUUCAUAAGUUUUUUGUUUUGCAGUGCUGGGAAAUGGAACCCAGAGCCAUGCACAAGCAAGGCAAGAACUCUACCAUUGGAGCUACAUCCCCAUCC